GAAAUGCGAUAAGUAAUGUGAAUUGCAGAAUUCAGUGAAUCAUCGAAUCUUUGAACGCACCUUGCACCCUUUGGUAUUCCGAAGGGUAUGCCUGUUUGAGUGUCAUUAAAUUCUCAACCUCUAUCAGCUUGCUGAUAAAGGCUUGGAUAUGGAGGAUAUAUGCGGGCUUUUUCAAGUCGGCUCCUCUCAAAUGCAUUAGCAAAAUCAUUGUGCUAGCUUAGGUGUGAUAAUUAUCUGCGCCUUGAUGCCUGCAUGUCUAUGAUUUGGCUUCUAAUCGUCCGAAAGAACAGCAUAUAUUGACAUUUGACCUCAAAUCAGGUAGGACUACCCGCUGAACUUAA
This 341-nucleotide unclassified non-coding RNA is filed under the name uncultured Resupinatus. Its description in RNAcentral is "sequence contains ITS1". The stretch from base 1 to 105 matches the Rfam family "5.8S ribosomal RNA", at positions 50 to 154 of the family's 154-position model. Lineage: Eukaryota; Fungi; Basidiomycota; Agaricomycetes; Agaricales; Tricholomataceae. The record is from RNAcentral.